UGCGUAGGUGGUUGACUAAGUUUGGUGUGAAAUCUCCCGGCUUAACUGGGAGGGUGCGCCGAAAACUGGUUGGCUAGAGUGUGGGAGAGGGAAGCGGAAUUCCAGGUGUAGCGGUGAAAUGCGUAGAUAUCUGGAGGAACGCCUGCGGUGUAGACGGCUUCCUGGACCAUGACUGACACCGAGGCACGAAAGCGUGGGUAAGCAAACAG
RNAcentral lists this ribosomal RNA (209 nucleotides) under uncultured bacterium. RNAcentral describes it as "partial 16S ribosomal RNA". It matches the Rfam family "Bacterial small subunit ribosomal RNA", at positions 568 to 775 of the family's 1533-position model. The record is from RNAcentral.